CACGUAGGCGGAUCAGUCAGUUAGGGGUGAAAUCCCAGGGCUCAACCCUGGAACUGCCUUUAAUACUGCUGGUCUAGAGUUCGAGAGAGGUGAGUGGAAUUCCGAGUGUAGAGGUGAAAUUCGUAGAUAUUCGGAGGAACACCAGUGGCGAAGGCGGCUCACUGGCUCGAUACUGACGCUGAGGUGCGAAAGCGUGGGAGCAAACA
Molecule: ribosomal RNA, 206 nt
Filed under: uncultured bacterium
Lineage: Bacteria
Description: partial 16S ribosomal RNA
Rfam family: Bacterial small subunit ribosomal RNA
Source: RNAcentral